RNAcentral lists this long non-coding RNA (1394 nucleotides) under Apteryx rowi (Okarito brown kiwi). RNAcentral describes it as "lncRNA (ENSARWG00000004372.1)". The record is from RNAcentral. Lineage: Eukaryota; Metazoa; Chordata; Aves; Apterygiformes; Apterygidae.
GCGCCCGGCCCCGCCGCCGCUCGCGCCGGCUCGUCCGCGUGCGGCGAGGAGGCGCCGCGCCGCACCGCCCGGCUGGGACCGAGACCCGGGGAGGGACCCGCCGCCCCGGUGCCCUCCGCGGGGAGUCGCCGGGGGCAGCCCGGAGGGGGACGCAGGGAAGCGCUCGCCUUUCUCAGGCCGCAGACAAAAGGGCGCCGAGCGGCCGCCGCAGCCCCCACUGCUGCCGAGGCUCCGUCCCUCGCCGCCGCCGCCGCCGCCUCCUGUGUGUCCGGCUGAACCAUAGAGAUCAUUUAAGGCGGGGGGAGAGAGGGGCUCAUCCGCUGCCCACGUGACUGGACAUGUCACUCACCCGGCCAGCGCCAUCUUGGAGCGGGAGGGGGGACGCUGCUCGCAGCUCGUAUUCAAGAUGGCGCGGGCCGUGCGGGAGGCUGCUAUUCACAGACGGACGCUGCGCCACUCCACUGUAGCUCUCCCUGCGAUUCCUGCCGGACUGCACAGGAAGGUGCUACGUCCGUCCUGGGGGAUGCCGGGAGGGGGAGACUCUACUGCUCUCGAUCCGGGGCCCCAUGAAAGACGCGGGAAAAGCGGCGGCCGGGGCGGAGGCCGUGCGCAUGCCCCAGCACCGCCCGCGGAGAGCCGAGGCGGGCCGGGCAGUGCUGUGUGCAGACUCUAGGGCUCAUUUAGCGGCAAGGAAGUGCCAAGUGCUGCAGAUCAAAGCCCCAAGGCAUUAACAGAUUAAUGAAAAUGUUCAGUAAGUAGAUCUGCAAGUAAUAGUUCUGAUAUACUCCAGAAAUAGGUUCUUUGUACAUGUACAGGCCAGCGGUACUAUACCUGUAAUAUUCCUGUCCUCUUCCAUGUGUUCUGAUGAAAGAGGAUGAUCAAAACCAGCCUGCUGUCUGUCCUUCUUAAAGGUCUUCUGGGAGUGAGAAGAAAGUCGGCUGCAAUUCAUAUGAAUUGUCCUGUUGGUGGACAUCUACUUUUGGUUGCCAUUUUUCUGUGGGGCCUCUCAGCCCCUCAUGUGACUAGGCAACAGUCUGAUGUGACAGGGAAAGAAGUGUGAAUCCACUAGCAAGGAAGCCAAAAACCUAAGAAAUUCCUUGGCAACUUCAAUAGUUUCAAGUAAGAAAUAGUUAGCAACGAAAGCAAGACAAUACAGUGUCAAGUUUCAAGUUCCCAAUAAUCUCUUAUCCUCACCAGACUCUGCAGUCUAGAAGCUGUCAACUUCAGAAAUAUCAUUGGUCAUGGAGACUCAUGCCAAGUCUAAGACAGAUACCCUGUACGCAGAGAACAACAGUUAUGAUUCCAGCUUGAAGCCCAGGAUCUUCAAACACAGGACUGGCAAGAUGCUAAACAGAUACUUGACAUGCAAGGCAUUUUCCUUCUCUUUUUAUUUA